AACGAACGCUGGCGGCGCGUCUUAAACAUGCAAGUCGAACGGCAGGAAGGGGCUUGCCCCUUCUGAGAGUGGCGGACUGGUGAGUAACACGUGGGUGACAUACCUUUUAGUUGGGGAUAGCUAUUAGAAAUAGUAGGUAAUACCGAAUGUGACCGUACCUGUUAGAGGGGUACGAGGAAAGGAGCUAAGGCUUCGCUAAAAGAAUGGCUCGCGGCCCAUUAUGCUCGUUGGUGAGGUAACGGCCCACCAAGGCGAUGAUGGGUAUCCGGCCUGAGAGGGUGGACGGACACAUUGGGACUGAGAUACGGCCCAGACUUCUACGGGAGGCAGCAGUUAAGAAUAUUCCGCAAUGGACGAAAGUCUGACGGAGCGACGCCGCGUGGAUGAAGAAUGCCGAAAGGUUGUAAAAUCCUUUUAAGCCUGAUGAAUAAGCACAGUAGGGAAUGAUUGUGCGGUGACCGUAGGGCUUGAAUAAGCACCGGCUAAUUACGUG
This 493-nucleotide ribosomal RNA is filed under the name uncultured bacterium. RNAcentral's name for it is "partial 16S ribosomal RNA". It matches the Rfam family "Bacterial small subunit ribosomal RNA", at positions 29 to 507 of the family's 1533-position model. The record is from RNAcentral.